Molecule: unclassified non-coding RNA, 345 nt
Filed under: soil metagenome
Description: partial contains 5.8S ribosomal RNA, internal transcribed spacer 2, and large subunit ribosomal RNA
Rfam family: 5.8S ribosomal RNA (bases 1-120)
Source: RNAcentral
GAUGAAGAACGCAGCGAAAUGCGAUACGUAAUGUGAAUUGCAGAAUUCAGUGAAUCAUCGAGUCUUUGAACGCGCAUUGCGCCCCCUGGUAUUCCGGGGGGCAUGCCUGUCCGAGCGUCAUUGCUGCCCUCAAGCACGGCUUGUGUGUUGGGCCUCCGUCCUCCUCCCGGGGGACGGGCCCGAAAGGCAGCGGCGGCACCGCGUCCGGUCCUCGAGCGUAUGGGGCUUCGUCACCCGCUCUUGUAGGCCCGGUCGGCGCUUGCCGACACAUCAAUCUUUUUUCCAGGUUGACCUCGGAUCAGGUAGGGAUACCCGCUGAACUUAAGCAUAUCAGUAAGCGGAGGA